UCCUAUAUAAUCCCCGCCACUCCAUUCAUCUUCAUUAGUUUCUACCGAGUAUUUCUUUCUGAUUGCCCGGGAAAAUCAAUCUUUGCACUAGAAUGGGCACUCGCAGGACAAACGCCACAUUCGAAUGGCCAGGCACUGAAACGCUUGUGUACGAAUUCUCUCACAACGCCCUGGGAACCACCGGUGGCAACAGAUUCAAUGAGGAGAUCGACGGAACUGGAGCCUUAGAAACUAUGCUCUCCUCCGCAAAUUCAUCUGGGACAUCUUCCACCAGGAAUCGCCAGCUGAUAGAAGGAAGAUACAGAGGGUUAAUUUGGUACUGGAAAGCAUGGACGGUACUGCGUAUUCCAGUGCAGAUAUAAUUCACCUCAGCGCAGAUUAUGUGGCCAAUUUCCAAGGAGACGUGGAGGCAGAAAUCAGAGGAGUUUUGUACCGCGAAAUGACACACUUCUGGCAAUGGGACGGCCAAGGCAAAGCCCCGCGCGGCCUUAUUGAUGGCAUUGCAGACUAUGUGCGCCUCACUGCUGGGUUAGUUCCUCCUUACUGGAAUAAGCCCGGUAGUGGAGACAGAUGGGACCAGGGUGAUGAAGUGACUGCCUAUUUCUUGCAGUAUUGUGAAAGUGUUAGCUCUGGUUUUGUUGCCAACAUCAACGCUAAAAUGGCUUCCGGAUGGGACUUGGGCUUCUUCAAUGAGGUCACUGGCAAAUCCGUUGAUGAGCUUUGGAGUGACUACAAGGCCAAGUAUGCUUCUUCAUGUUAAAGGGCGAUUUUCUCUGCCUUUAAGGUCAACCUAUUAUAGCUAAGGUCUUAGAGCUUCUAUUUGGCUGUGGACUCCUACCUAGUUGUAGGUUUUUCUUUUGUUACAUUGUACAGUCCAGAUUACUCUUCUAUGCUUUUUGUCCACUUUUCUGGUUUGUCAGAGAUGAAGAUGCAUAAGUUGCGUUGCCGGUAAGGCAGAUGUAGUUAUUUCUCGUUAGCUGGCCUAUUCUUGGAUGAUUACUGUUAUUUUGGCUAUUUUUGGGAGUACUAUUUGGGUUAAUCCGUUUCUAUUCAAGGAAGGAAAAGGUCAGGACCUAGAAGGUAGAGUAGGGAUACAUGGAACUUGCCACCCAAGUGCUGAAUUCCUCUAAUUUUGAUUGAAAUGAGAUUAUUCCUUGUAAUUUUAUAUCACUGAGGUCUAUAAACUGAUAGAUGAUACACAA
Molecule: RNA transcript, 1202 nt
Organism: Cryptomeria japonica (Japanese cedar)
Lineage: Eukaryota; Viridiplantae; Streptophyta; Pinopsida; Cupressales; Cupressaceae
Exons: 1
Source: RefSeq, a predicted model, not a curated record